Chinchilla lanigera (long-tailed chinchilla) is the source of this 277-nucleotide long non-coding RNA. RefSeq lists it as uncharacterized. The record is from RefSeq and is a predicted model, not a curated record. NCBI's taxonomy places the organism in Eukaryota, Metazoa, Chordata, Mammalia, Rodentia, Chinchillidae. The transcript is spliced from 4 exons.
GGUUUUUCUUGCAGGUGGAGUAGUAGGAACAAAAGUAGAUAUUUCAUGGGAGCUCUCUGACAUGUUUCCAGAUGAUCUUCCUUAUGGAUUGUACCUAUGUGUUACUCAAAAGCCCCAACUGCUCAUAAGAGGGACAAGAAGAAGGAUAUGGGAGAGUAACUUGAACAACCACAAAUUGAAGAGGCUGGGUUUGAAUCCUGCAUCAUGACUUUGAAGGAGAUCACUGCAUUUUAACCUCCUUAGAAGAAUUUGCCUGUGAGCCUUGUGCAAUCAGGAC